Molecule: long non-coding RNA, 867 nt
Organism: Camelus dromedarius (Arabian camel)
Lineage: Eukaryota; Metazoa; Chordata; Mammalia; Artiodactyla; Camelidae
Exons: 4
Source: RefSeq, a predicted model, not a curated record
UUAAUUGCUGUCACAGCUAAACUCCAAGGGGCCAGAACCAACCAGCUCAAGCCAACCGACUGUUGAUUUUACGGAGCCAGCCCCAGCGCUGUGCCCGGUUGCACAAUAGUGGGGUACCUGCCAAGGCAGUGAUGGCAGAGCAGGUGAUGCUGCGAUCCAGUGUCCUGAAGGACUUGGAGUGGUAGGGGCUGCCGGGGGGUGGGCCCCCUGCACCAUCUAGAAGAGUGCGUUCCUGCCCCCCCAGCUAGGCUUGGAGGCGAUCUGGUGGAGCAGAAAGAGGCUCAGGGCAUUGCCUUGUGUUCCUUCUAGCUGUGUGAGCAGGGGCAGACCCCAGCACCUGUGUCAGUUUCCUUCCCUGCAAAAUGAAGUCCUUCCUAGCCUUCAGGGACACUGCUGAGGACUAUAGCCUGGGAGACAGCCUCUCAGAUGGCUCUGAGGAACUGCUCCAAAGAGGGCCAGUAUCCUGUUUUUCUCCACCCUGAAUUCCCCUCGGGGUGCAUGGUCACUGGCAGUGGCAGAUGGUUUGAUGGUAGACAACAUUCGUUGCUUACCGGAAUGGCAGCAGGAUUCCCCUUCUGUCUUUUAGACCUGAGUUCAAGUUCUGGCUUGUCCACAUACCAUUGGAGUUUUCCUCUUCUGUAAGAUGAAUAUCACAAAACCUGCUUGGCUGAGUCCUUGGGAAGAACAAAGCAGAUCAAAGAGGCAAGGGCUCUCUAGAAUUACUGAGAACCAGAAAAUGGACAGAAUUGUUACAAAGUCACCAGACUCACUGAAGACAGAUGUUUAACAGACCCCAUGAUCUGCGUCCCUGAAGAAGCCAGGAUACACUAGGCAGUCUGUGAAAUAAAUGGCAAAGGUGGUUACAAA